Molecule: ribosomal RNA, 402 nt
Filed under: uncultured bacterium
Lineage: Bacteria
Description: bacterial SSU rRNA
Rfam family: Bacterial small subunit ribosomal RNA
Source: RNAcentral
UGGGGAAUAUUGCACAAUGGGGGAAACCCUGAUGCAGCGACGCCGCGUGAGCGAAGAAGUAUUUCGGUAUGUAAAGCUCUAUCAGCAGGGAAGAUGAUGACGGUACCUGACUAAGAAGCCCCGGCUAACUACGUGCCAGCAGCCGCGGUAAUACGUAGGGGGCAAGCGUUAUCCGGAUUUACUGGGUGUAAAGGGAGCGUAGACGGCGAAGCAAGUCUGGUGUGAAAACCCGGGGCUCAACCCCGGGCCUGCAUUGGAAACUGUUUUGCUGGAGUGCCGGAGAGGUAAGCGGAAUUCCUAGUGUAGCGGUGAAAUGCGUAGAUAUUAGGAGGAACACCAGUGGCGAAGGCGGCUUACUGGACGGUAACUGACGUUGAGGCUCGAAAGCGUGGGGAGCAAACA